CUGCGCUCUGGCGGGAGGGCGCUUCUCUCGGCUUUUUAUAGCUUCAUGGCGGACCACGUUGAGAACAACAACAGCCUGGUCCGGGGCCAGCGCCAACUUGUGCUUCUUGGAGCCCCUUCUCCGGCCGCUGGCUUCUCGGACCGCGCCUCUCCAGCGCCGCCGCGCCCGCAGCGGGGCGCCCCGGACAGGGCCUGAGCUCCCGGCGCAGUGGAGAGGCGACUUGCGUCCUGGAAGGGCUCAGCAAAGGCGAACGGAGAGGUGCACCCUAGGCUGCGGGAGCGCGAGAGGAGGGGGGCACCUCGUUUGGAGGCCAAUAGCGCGGGCCCCAGAGGAGGCCCCACGGCCGGGAGCUUGGCGGCCGGCAACCCAGAGAACGCCACGGGCACCCGAGCCUUGUCCCGGCCCGGGGGGCUCCAGGCCUGCCCGCAAGAGGAGCUUUAAUUUGUCCAAACUAACACAGGGCGCGCCCUCACGUGGUCGGCUGGGGCAACGUGAACUGCGCUAGGACAUCCUCGGGGGUUUUCCGCCCCAUCCAAAGGGGAUGGCGGAUGGGAGGCACUCUCCAGCUGCACCCCGGGUUCUGGUUGUGCCUCUGGGAGCCUAGGCACAACCCGGGGAAUGGAGGACUACGGCAGGACCUCUCUAGGGACACUGCCUCGCCGCUCCCCCCACCCUGUUGCCGCUGAUGUUCCCAGGGCCUCAUUUUGUAAUCCACAAGUAGCUGCCGCCGGUCCCCCCAAAGCCAAAUGGGGGCUCCAGGGUGGGACAGGGUGGGCGGGGGUGAGGCUGUGACACCCAGAGGAAUUCCUGUGAGAGGAUGGGGAAGGGAUUCGCUCUUAGUUCCUGGGUGCACCCCUCCCCCUCUCCCGUGCACAGGGAAAUGAUGGCGGGAACACAGCAAAGGAGACCAUGUCCUGGAGAGGGUCCCGGGCCCCACCCUCCCCGGGGGGGCUUGUGCAAGGCUGGCGGCCCGAUCUCUGCUGAUUCCAGUAUUGGGGGUGCAGAGAAGGCACAGGACAGUUUUUGUUGAAGCCGUUGCAGCCUCCACUUGGGGAAGCUGAGGCCAGGGGGGGAGGCUGGCAGGGGCAUGGAGCCAGGAAACAGCCUUCGCCCCCCAGAGCACCAGGUACCCUGAGAAAAGUGAGAAGAGAGAUUGCAGCCCAGGUCCCUGCAGAGGAGGAUGGGCUCCUUUCCCAGGAAGGACUGGCUGAGUGGACUGUCUCCAGGGCACAGGACAACGUUGAGGGCCUGAGGCCUCCACCUUCUUGAAGAAGGACCAUGUGAAUUUCCUGACAGAGAACGGGGAUGGGUUUCUGAAAGCACCACCCAGCUGAGCCUGCCGAAACUGCACAGCUGUUUCCAGGCCAGGCUGGCUGCAUGGAGGACGUGAGAGGAACAGCCAGCUGUGUGUGCUGGGCCCACUGAUCAGGGUGCUCAGGACCAGGAGCCUUCUGAGGAUGUGCAGAGGGGACUCUGGGGAGAGGAACAUGGUGGCCACAGCUGGAGUGACCGCAGUGUACAGAGAUGGGAUGGGAGCAGGAAACCCAAAAGAGCCGGCCCUGGAACCAGGUGGAGGGGAGGCAGCCCGGCCAUGACCCAGAGCAGGACACCUGCUCCACUUCACCUUUUGCCAUGAGUAAAAGCUCCCUGAGGCCUCCCAAGAAGUUGAUGCCCUGUGCUUCCUGUACAGCUGCGGAACCGGAUGGCUUUCCGUGGCUUUGCUACAGCCACUCCUGGAAGUGCUGCCUGACUGAAUCCUCAGGGCACCCCGGCAGGAUGGACGUGGUGUACCCCCUACUUUACAGAUGGGGAAACUGAGGCUUGAGAGCUAAAGCAGCCCACCCAGCUCCCAGAGAUGAGGAGGCCGACUCUGGCAGGAGUCACUGUCGGUGCAUGGGCAUUUCUUCCUGUUACAGCCUGCGGCCCCUUCCAGGCCGGGAGGCCUUCUGCGCAGGAGGAGGGCUUCAUAGGCCAAGGCACGACGCAGGGGAGACACCAACUUGCCUGGUCCACCACAGAGGUGAGGGCCGCGUCAAUGGCCAUCUGUCCCCUCUUUAGUGCCCUGACGUGAUGGUAUGACCCAUUCUGGGAGGCCGAGAGCACCUCAAAGAACUCAGCAGGAAGCACAGUUUCAAUUCAGAAGUUCUGGAAGGCGAGGCAGGACAGGGCACCCUCCCUGCAUGGCCCGAUGACCUGCACUCCUGUUUCAUCUCCCCGUGUGGCACCUGGGGCAGCUUGGAGCCUACCAAGGUCUCAACAAGGAACCAGUAAAUACCAAAAAAAGGACAUCACGUCCCCUACAGCUAACUGCAAAUGGUGACCAUCCCAGCCCUUGUUUGAUAACACAAGCAAAGCAAUGGCUUCUUCAAGGACACCGAGAGGAACCUCACCUCUUUCUAAAACCUCCAACACAGGGCCAGGCGCGGUGGCUCAUGCGUGUAAUCCCAGCACUUUGGGAGGCCGAGGCAGGUGGAUCACGAGGUCAGGAGAUCGAGACCAUCCUGGCUAACACGGUGAAACCCCGUCUCUACUAAAAAUAAAAAAAAUUAGCCGG
Molecule: long non-coding RNA, 2554 nt
Filed under: Homo sapiens (human)
Lineage: Eukaryota; Metazoa; Chordata; Mammalia; Primates; Hominidae
Description: HSALNT0314586
Source: RNAcentral